This 336-nucleotide ribosomal RNA is filed under the name Iporangaia pustulosa. RNAcentral's name for it is "partial 12S ribosomal RNA". The record is from RNAcentral. Lineage: Eukaryota; Metazoa; Arthropoda; Arachnida; Opiliones; Gonyleptidae.
CCCUAUUAUUUGGAUAUUAUUGUAAUUAGUAUUGGUGAAAUUUAAUAAUUUUGGCGGUUAAUUGUUAUUUGGAGGAGCUUGUAUUAUAGAAUUUACUCUUUAUAUUUUAUUAGUAAUUAAUUUAUUCAUCUCCGUUAUUAGUCUUUAAAGAAGAAGGUUUAGAAAAUUGUUAAUUAGUAUUUCAGGUCAAGAUGUAGUUUUUACUAAGAAAUAUUAGCUACAUUUAUGAAAUUAGUGGAUUAUGGUAUAAUAUAAUGUUAAGGUAGUAAAAAUAAGAAAUUGAAUUUAGUUGUAAUAAUAAUUAGAAUAUUAUUGUGAAUAGAUUUUAUUAAUGUA